Molecule: RNA transcript, 1657 nt
Organism: Magnolia sinica
Lineage: Eukaryota; Viridiplantae; Streptophyta; Magnoliopsida; Magnoliales; Magnoliaceae
Exons: 6
Source: RefSeq, a predicted model, not a curated record
CGAACGGCAGGGUUAUUAGCGGGAGGAGGUCCCGUACACCGCGACGAUAAGAGCCGGUGGUUAGCUCCCGUCACGCGAUCUCACCGCGGAAAUCCCCCAUCCUCCAGGGGCUUGUGAUCUUAGCCGUUGUUCCCUACCAAACUGACCUUGUUCCUAAAAUCGGAAGAACAACGUCUGAAAACCCAUCUCUCUCGUCUCUCCUCCUUUCCAAACGCCACCAUCUUUUGAAAUACAAUUUACGUCAUUCCUUAAAUUGUUUUUUUUUUUUUUUUUAAGAGAAAUAUGACCACGAAUUUCGAUCGGUGGGAGAAAGAUCCCUUCUUCUCUGCUGCUGAAGAAGUUCAAGAAUCCGCAGACAGGAUGGAAUCUGCGUACCGAAGAUGGUUACACGGACAACGUAAUUCUUCAAUGCGUCUCGCCGGUUCCGACGAGCUCCGUAGAGAGCUGCAGACCACCCUUGGCACCACCAAAUGGCAGCUGGAGGAAUUUGAACGUGCGGUCAGAUUGAGCUACAGCAAUCCCUCGGCAGAUGACGCCAGAAGCAGGCACCGCCAUUUCGUGGCCGCGAUUGAGCACCACAUCUCGACCAUUGUGGAGUCCUUGCGGGAUUCAGUGGCUGCGGAAGGUGGGACAUCGCUGCCUUGGGUGCGGUUGGACGAGGGUGAGAGAGAUGAGCUGGCUGCGUUUCUUGUGGGGCCUGUGAUGGAUGGGGAGAUCGGUGCGGGUGUGGUGGGCAGGAAGGACGGUGAUCUCGUGGGGAUGGAGCCUGGCUGUUCGACGAAUUCGUGCCGUUUGGGUGAAUUGGGUUUGGAGGAAAAGAGAGAGAGGGCACAUGGGCACCGGAGGACAGCGAGUGCCGGCGCGGAUAUGGAGUCAUGGAGUAUCGCAGUUCCUGUCGAGGUUGACCGGCAGGGUUCGUUGAAUGGGCGGGCGGAUUUGCCCCCUCCAAGGAUUAUGAGCUUCUCUGGUAUCAUGGGGAGCAUGGAAUCAUCAUACAAGCUGACAUGGCCGAAGAAUGGUUUCAGGAAAUGGAAGGGUGGCGAUCGUCACCAUGCAGUGGAGAUUGAGCCGCUCCGGGCUCAUCAGUUGAGUCGGGGCAUUGAUGGUUGCUAUGAGAAGAGUAAAAGUUGCCUUGAUGGCUGUGAUGAAUCUUUUAAUAAGCCGCUUUAUGGAUGGGUUGGGGCCCUUCAAAGACAGUUCCAAAGAUCUCAAUAUCAAUUCCAAUAUAGUCGUCCCAUUCAAAUGACAUUUUGGGUUGUCCUCAUCAUUUGUCUGAUUGUUUUAUUUGCUCUUCAUGUAAUCUGAGUGGAUUACAAAUUCAUUUUCUAGUUGGCACAUUGGGAAAUGUGUCCCAAAGGCAGAUGCUUGAGAGGGUGUUGUAUAUUUUGUGGACAGCUGUGAUAGAUGGAGGAAAAAGUCCACAAAUUGUAGUUCAAAUGCCCAUGCAUGCCAUAUUUGAUAACUGACAAGUGGUCUUUGGAGCCUGUUUUGUAUAUUGUGUGAAGUGGUAUUGGUUGAAGAAAAAGCAAGUAGAAUUUUUGCUGUAACUAUGCCAUGAAGGGAAGCUUGAGAUUGAAACAAGUAGAGAGAUGCAUCUGGUCAUUUGCUUUCAAUCCAAGUAGAAAAAAAAAAAAAACCUCAAAACAUCUUCACAUGA